This 503-nucleotide ribosomal RNA is filed under the name Fructilactobacillus fructivorans. RNAcentral's name for it is "bacterial SSU rRNA". It matches the Rfam family "Bacterial small subunit ribosomal RNA", at positions 32 to 503 of the family's 1533-position model. The record is from RNAcentral. Lineage: Bacteria; Bacillati; Bacillota; Bacilli; Lactobacillales; Lactobacillaceae.
AACGCUGGCGGCGUGCCUAAUACAUGCAAGUCGAACGAGCUUUGGUCGAUGAACGGCGCUUGCACUGAGCAUUCGACUUAAAACGAGUGGCGGACGGGUGAGUAACACGUGGGUAACCUGCCCUUAAGUGGGGGAUAACAUUUGGAAACAGAUGCUAAUACCGCAUAAAUCCAAGAACCGCAUGGUUCUUGGCUGAAAGAUGGCGCAAGCUAUCGCUUAUGGAUGGACCCGCGGCGUAUUAGCUAGUUGGUGAGGUAACGGCUCACCAAGGCGAUGAUGCGUAGCCGACCUGAGAGGUUGAUCGGCCACAUUGGGACUGAGACACGGCCCAAACUCCUACGGGAGGCAGCAGUAGGGAAUCUUCCACAAUGGACGCAAGUCUGAUGGAGCAACGCCGCGUGAGUGAAGAAGGCUUUCGGGUCGUAAAACUCUGUUGUUGGAGAAGAAUGGUCGGCUAGUAACUGUUGUCGGCAUGCCGGACCAACAGAAGCCACGGCUAACUA